RNAcentral lists this unclassified non-coding RNA (274 nucleotides) under soil metagenome. RNAcentral describes it as "partial contains small subunit ribosomal RNA, internal transcribed spacer 1, and 5.8S ribosomal RNA". The record is from RNAcentral.
UAACCGUAAGUGAACCUGCGGAAGGAUCAUUAGCACAAUCCAAACUUAAAUUCUUGUGAACACUGUUGCUGUUACUUAAGAAACUAUUGUUCCCUCGUAAUUUUUUUUCCAAUUUGAACUUUUUUUAAAGUCGAAAAGGAAAUGGGAUUUGCGAGGGGACAAUAAGUUUCUUAAACUUGUAAACCAUUCUUUGAAAUAAACCUGACAAUAUAUUAUUAUUUUGUCAUGUAUUUUAAACAAAAAACAACUUUUGACGGUGGAUCUCUUGGCUCAU